This 440-nucleotide ribosomal RNA is filed under the name uncultured bacterium. RNAcentral describes it as "partial 16S ribosomal RNA". It matches the Rfam family "Bacterial small subunit ribosomal RNA", at positions 338 to 795 of the family's 1533-position model. The record is from RNAcentral.
CCUACGGGAGUCAGCAGUGGGGAAUAUUGCACAAUGGGGGAAACCCUGAUGCAGCGACGCCGCGUGAGCGAUGAAGUAUUUCGGUAUGUAAAGCUCUAUCAGCAGGGAAGAAAAUGACGGUACCUGACUAAGAAGCCCCGGCUAACUACGUGCCAGCAGCCGCGGUAAUACGUAGGGGGCAAGCGUUAUCCGGAUUUACUGGAUGUAAAGGGAGCGUAGACGGUCCUGCAAGCCAGAUGUGAAUGCCUGGGGCUCAACCCCGGGACUGCAUUUGGAACUGUAAGGCUAGAGGGUCGGAGAGGCAGGCGGAAUUCCUAGUGUAGCGGUGAAAUGCGUAGAUAUUAGGAGGAACACCAGUGGCGAAGGCGGCCUGCUGGACGAUGACUGACGUUGAGGCUCGAAAGCGUGGGGAGCAAACAGGAGUAGAUACCCCUGUAGUC